ACGUCACUUCCGACUAGUGGAGUUUUUAGCCUUUUAACAUUCAAGGAUUAGGUAAGUUCUUCCCGCGGUAGACUUCAAAUACUCUUUGUCCUGCCCCUGCUUGGCGAAAUUUACCGAAAUUAUCUACCUAUCCCGCUGGAGUGGGAGCCGGGGGAGAGCUGGAACCGCGUCUCUGCUGCUCACCUUUGUGUCCUUAGCUCCUUCGCAUGGGGUCCGACCGCAACACGUGCGCUGGAUAAACGCUUGUUAACUGGAGCUCCCUCUUUGCCCACUAGCAGGGCAUUAGCUGGUGCUGAAGACAGUGGCUGCUUGGCGAGCCUGGAUCUCCAAGUGACUCCAAGUGACCCCCUCAGCAACUCCUGAUGAACAGGGACUUGCACUUAGGAAUCUGUUACAGUGAGCACAGAAGCAGACCUGUGGGCUCAUAGUCUUCACCCCCCACCCAUAUAUACAAGAUGAACAGAGUGGAGGUUAAACAACUUGACUAAACACAGUUCAUGGUAAAGCCCAAGACUGUACCUGCCCGUCCACUGCCUUUUCCAUGUAUCCUGGAACUGAGCAUAGAC
RNAcentral lists this non-coding RNA (566 nucleotides) under Pan troglodytes (chimpanzee). The record is from RNAcentral. Lineage: Eukaryota; Metazoa; Chordata; Mammalia; Primates; Hominidae.